RNAcentral lists this ribosomal RNA (1496 nucleotides) under uncultured Bordetella sp. RNAcentral's name for it is "partial 16S-23S ribosomal RNA intergenic spacer". It matches the Rfam family "Bacterial small subunit ribosomal RNA". Lineage: Bacteria; Pseudomonadati; Pseudomonadota; Betaproteobacteria; Burkholderiales; Alcaligenaceae. The record is from RNAcentral.
UUCGAUCAUGGCUCAGAUUGAACAGCUGGCGGGAUGCUUUACACAUGCAAGUCGAACGGCAGCACGGACUUCGGUCUGGUGGCGAGUGGCGAACGGGUGAGUAAUGUAUCCGGAACGUGCCUAGUAGCGGGGGAUAACUACGCGAAAGCGUAGCUAAUACCGCAUACGCCCUUCGAGGAAAGCGGGGGACCUUCGGGCCUCGCACUAUUAAGAGCGGCCGAUAUCCGGAUUAGCUAGUUGGUGGGGUAACGGCUCACCAAGGCGACGAUCCGUAGCUGGUUUGAGAGGACGACUGGCCUGCACAGGACUGAGACACGGCUUGAACUCCUACGGAGGCAGCAGUGGGGAAUUUUGGACAAUGGGAAACCCUGAUCCAGCCAUCCCGCGUGUGCGAUGAAGGCCUUCAGGUUGUAAGCACUUUUGGCAGGAAAGAAACGGCACGGGGAUAAUACCCCGUGCAACUGACCGGUACACCUGCAGAAUAAGCACCGGCUAACUACGUGCCAGCAGCCGCGGUAAUACGUAGGGUGCGAAAGCGUUAAUCGGAAUUACUGGGCGUAAAGCGUGCUGAGCGGUUCGGAAAGAAAAGAUGUGAAAUCCCAGAGCUUAACUUUGGAACUGCAUUUUUUAACUACCGAGCUAGAAGUGUGUCAGAGGUGGAAUUCACGCGUGUAGCAGUGAAAUGCGUAGAUAUGCGGAGGAACACCGAUGGCAGAAGGCAGCCUCCUGGGAUAACUGCGGCGCUCAUGCACGGCGUGAGGGGGCAAAACCCGGGAUUGAAUACCUGGUAGUCCACGCCCUAAACGAUGUCAACUAGCUGUUGGGGCCUUCGGGCCUUGGUAGCGCAGCUAACGCGUGAAGUUGACCGCCUGAGGUACGGUCGCAAGAUUAAAACUCAAAGGAAUUGACGGGGACCCGCACAAGCGGUGGAUGAUGUGGAUUAAUUCGAUGCAACGCGAAAAACCUUACCUACCCUUGACAUGUCUGGAAUCCCGAAGAGAUUUGGGAGUGCUCGCAAGAGAACCGGAACACAGGUGCUGCAUGGCUGUCGUCAGCUCGUGUCGUGAGAUGUUGGGUUAAGUCCCGCAACGAGCGCAACCCUUGUCAUUGGUUGCUACGAAAGGCACUCUAAUGAGACUGCCGGUGACAAACCGGAGGAAGGUGGGGAUGACGUCAAGUCUCGCAUGGCCCUUAUGAGUGAAGACUACACGUCAUACAAUGGUCGGGACAGAGGGUCGCCAACCCGCGAGAGGAGCCAAUCAGAAACCCGAUCGUAGUCCGGAUCACCGGUCUACGCUCGACUGGCGUGGCGUCAGGAAUCGCUAGUAAUCGCGGAUCAGCAUGUCGCGGUGAAUACGUUCCGGGUCAGCACACCGCCCGUCACACCAUAGGGAGUGGGUUUGCAAGUAGUUAGCCUAACCGUAAGGAGGGCGAUUACCACGGUAGGAUUCAUGACUGGGGUGAAGUCGUAACAAGGUAGCUCUGUUACUACCUGA